GUCGCACGCGUAUAAACCCUCCGGGACGGCCAACGGCUAUGCUGAGUUCAUGCAUACCCGCUGCCGACUCACCAGCGCGCCGCACUUUAAACCGCCUGCAUUGGGCAAGCUCCGAGGACACCGGCGUGUAAAAAUGAACACACGCGGAAGAGCCCGUACUGGCCAUUAUACCGGCUCCCUGUGUGUCCCGACAGCCUCACAGCGCUCACCCGCUAGACUGGCCCGCGUUCCCGCGACAGCGUCCUCAACACACAAACGUGUUUCUCAUUCUUUCUUUCCUAGUUGGCGAAGCGGAAGUAGAAGCAGACAAUGGCCGACAGUGAGAUGAAUUGCGUUGCCAUCGUCUAAGAA
This is a long non-coding RNA of Polypterus senegalus (gray bichir), 351 nucleotides long. RefSeq lists it as uncharacterized. The record is from RefSeq and is a predicted model, not a curated record. NCBI's taxonomy places the organism in Eukaryota, Metazoa, Chordata, Cladistia, Polypteriformes, Polypteridae. The transcript is spliced from 3 exons.